Molecule: transfer RNA, 72 nt
Filed under: Oscarella microlobata
Lineage: Eukaryota; Metazoa; Porifera; Homoscleromorpha; Homosclerophorida; Oscarellidae
Description: tRNA-Tyr
Rfam family: tRNA
About the family: Transfer RNA (tRNA) molecules are approximately 80 nucleotides in length.
Source: RNAcentral
AGGUGUUUAACUCAGUGGUAGAGAGUUGUGGAGUAACCACAAUGGUCGGAAGUUCGAUUCUUUCAAUACCUA